This 429-nucleotide ribosomal RNA is filed under the name Chloroflexota bacterium. RNAcentral's name for it is "Chloroflexi bacterium partial 16S ribosomal RNA". It matches the Rfam family "Bacterial small subunit ribosomal RNA", at positions 355 to 776 of the family's 1533-position model. Lineage: Bacteria; Bacillati; Chloroflexota. The record is from RNAcentral.
UGGGGAAUAUUGCACAAUGGGCGCAAGCCUGAUGCAGCCAUGCCGCGUGUAUGAAGAAGGCCCUCGGGUUGUAAAGUACUUUCAGCGGGGAGGAUGGGAGUCAAGUUAAUACCUUUGCUCUUUGACGUUACCCGCAGAAGAAGCCCCGGCUAACUCCGCGCCAGCAGCCGCGGUAAUACGGAGGGCGCAAGCGUUAAUCGGAUUUACUGGGCGUAAAGCGCACGCAGGCGGUUUGUUAAGUCAGAUGUGAAAUCCCCGGGCUCAACCUGGGGACAGCAUCUGAUACAGGGAAGCUUGAGUGUCGUAGAGGGGGGUAGAGUUCCAGGUGUAGCGGUGAAAUGCGCAAAGAUCUGGAGGAAUACCGGUGGAGAGGGCGGCGCCCUGGACGAAAACUGACGCUCAGGUGCGAAAGCGUGGGGAGCAAACAGG